UCAAUAAGCGGAGGAAAAGAAACUAACAAGGAYUCCCCUAGUAACUGCGAGUGAAGCGGGAAAAGCUCAAAUUUAAAAUCUGGCAGCUUUGGCUGUCCGAGUUGUAUUCUGGAGAAGCGUUUUCUGUGCUGGACCGUGUACAAGUCUCUUGGAACAGAGCGUCAUAGAGGGUGAGAAUCCCGUCUUUGACACGGACUACCAGUGCUUUAUGAUGCGCUCUCAAUGAGUCGAGUUGUUUGGGAAUGCAGCUCAAAAUGGGUGGUAAAUUCCAUCUAAAGCUAAAUAUUGGCGAGAGACCGAUAGCGAACAAGUACCGUGAGGGAAAGAUGAAAAGCACUUUGGAAAGAAAGUUAAACAGUACGUGAAAUUGCUGAAAGGGAAACGCUUGAAGUCAGUCGCGUUUGCUAGUACUCAACCUGUCUUCUGACUGGUGCACUUACUAGUACACGGGCCAGCAUCAGUUUUGGCUGCGGGAAAAAGGUUGGAGGAAUGUGGCACCUUCGGGUGUGUUAUAGCCUCUGGUCAUAUACCGUGGCUGGGACUGAGGAUCUCAGCACGCCUUUAUGGCGGGGGUUCGCCCACCUUCGUGCUUAGGAUGCUGGCGUAAUGGCUUUAAACGACCCGUCUUGAA
Molecule: ribosomal RNA, 631 nt
Filed under: Hapalopilus rutilans
Lineage: Eukaryota; Fungi; Basidiomycota; Agaricomycetes; Polyporales; Phanerochaetaceae
Description: eukaryotic LSU rRNA
Rfam family: Eukaryotic large subunit ribosomal RNA
Source: RNAcentral